UACGGAGGAUCCGAGCGUUAUCCGGAAUCAUUGGGUUUAAAGGGUCCGUAGGCGGGAUAAUAAGUCAGUGGUGAAAGUCUGCAGCUCAACUGUAGAACUGCCAUUGAAACUGUUGUCCUUGAGUCAUUAUGAAGUGGUUAGAAUAUGUAGUGUAGCGGUGAAAUGCAUAGAUAUUACAUAGAAUACCGAUUGCGAAGGCAGAUCACUAAUAAUGUACUGACGCUGAUGGACGAAAGCGUAGGUAGCGAACAGG
Molecule: ribosomal RNA, 253 nt
Filed under: uncultured bacterium
Lineage: Bacteria
Description: partial 16S ribosomal RNA
Rfam family: Bacterial small subunit ribosomal RNA
Source: RNAcentral